This 824-nucleotide ribosomal RNA is filed under the name uncultured archaeon. RNAcentral's name for it is "bacterial SSU rRNA". It matches the Rfam family "Archaeal small subunit ribosomal RNA", at positions 16 to 844 of the family's 1478-position model. The record is from RNAcentral.
GGGGGACCCGACUAGCUAUCAUAGUGAGAUUAGAGCCUGUGAGGGAACGAACCAACACGCGGCGCACGGCUCAGUAACACGUAGUCAACAUGCCCAGAGGACGUGGAUAACCUCGGGAAACUGAGUCUAAACCACGAUAAUUGAGCAUUUCUGGAAUGGUUCCUGACUAAAAUCUAUAUGGACUCUGGAUUGGACUGCGUCCGAUCUCGCUGUUGGUGAGGUAAUGGCCCACCUAACCUGUAACCGGUACGGGCUCUGACAGGACGAGCCCGGAGAUGGGCACUGAGACCACGGCCCAUGCCCUAUGGGGCGCAGCAGGCGCGAAACCUGUAGCAAUAGGUGAAAGCCUGACAGGGUUACUCUGAGUGACCUUCGCUAAGAAAGUCAUUUGGCACCUCUAAAAAGGGUGCAGAAUAAGGGGUGGGCAAGUCUGGUGUCAGCCGCCGCGGUAAUAUCAGCACCCCGAGUGGUCGGGACGAUUAUUGGGCCUAAAGCAUCCGUAGCCGGUUCUGCUAGUCCCACGUUAAAUCCAACUGCUCAACAGAUGGGCCGCGGAGGAUACUACAGAGAUAGGAGGCAGGAGAGGCAAGCAGUACUCAGUGGGUAGGGGUAAAAUCCGUUGAUCCAUUGAAGACCACCAGUGGGGAAGGCGUCUUGCCAGAAUGCACUCGAUGGUGAGGGAUGAAAGCCGGGGGAGCAAACCGGAUUAGAUACCCGGGUAGUCCCAGCCGUAAACGAUGCAGACUCGGUGAUGGGUUGGCUUCGCGCUAACCCAGUGCCGCAGGGAAGCCGUUAAGCUCGCAAAAAUGGCCCAGUACGGUCGC